UUCAAGGCUACUCAUUUCCAGUUCUCAAGUAAGGGUGCAAGGGCCCGCCUUUCAUUAUAAUGGGAAUAGCGCAAGAGCACAUGCCACACAUCAAGAAAAAGAUCGAUAUGUUAUAAAGUAUCCGAAAUCGAAGAAGACUGCCAUUGCUGCGCCACUGAAGAAGGUUACAUGAAAGAGGCUCAUGGAGUACACUGUGGAGAUUUGCAGACAGGCGGGAUCACUGCAAAAAUCCUCAAUUCAGGCUAAUGUCAUCGUGCCAUCAACUCUGUCUAGCGAGUCUGAACUAGUGGUGCAGUACUAUCGGUAAAUCGACUAUCGAUAGCAUCGAUAGUUUCUUUGAAACUAUCUAUAGUGUAUACAAACUAUUGAUAGCACUACUAUUAACAAAGUAUCGAUAGUGCAAUCGAUAGUACCAUAGUUAAUAUUACUAUUUAUAUUAAUGUCACGCGUGUUUAUUGCUUUGUUCUGAUGUAUUCGGGUGUCACCCACAAAGACUGUUAGCAACGUUUUAUACGCAGAUUGCGCCGUAAUGUUUGAGAAACAUCACGAUUGCUUGAGGUCAUUCUGUUAAGAUUACGCAGCGGACGCAUGUAGUCAAGUUUAUUCGAGAGCUUGCACGAGCACCAGCGACAGCGCUGGACGGUUAGAUGACAUAUAUAUAUAAGACUACGCGUUCUACCGAUGAUCAGAUUACUCGACGGCCGACGACUGUUCUCGCCGGUAUCAGUGCGCGGCGUGCAUCGUUUGUAUUUUGAGUUGAUUUUCUGGGCACAAGUUCGCCCAAAUAAAGAGCUCCGUAU
This is a long non-coding RNA of Rhipicephalus sanguineus (brown dog tick), 800 nucleotides long. RefSeq lists it as uncharacterized. NCBI's taxonomy places the organism in Eukaryota, Metazoa, Arthropoda, Arachnida, Ixodida, Ixodidae. The record is from RefSeq and is a predicted model, not a curated record. The transcript is spliced from 3 exons.